UGGGGGAUAUUGCACAAUGGGCGCAAGCCUGAUGCAGCGACGCCGCGUGGGGGAUGAAGGCCUUCGGGUUGUAAACUUCUUUUGCUCUGAACAAGGCGCACUUUGGGGUGUGUUGAGUGUAGGGGUUGAUUAGCGCCGGCUAACUACGUGCCAGCAGCCGCGGUAAUACGUAGGGCGCGAGCGUUGUCCGGAAUUAUUGGGCGUAAAGGGCUUGUAGGUGGCUGGUUGCGUCUGUCGUGAAAGCUCAUGGCUUAACUGUGGGUUUGCGGUGGGUACGGGCUGGCUUGAGUGCAGUAGGGGAGGCUGGAAUUCCUGGUGUAGCGGUGGAAUGCGCAGAUAUCAGGAGGAAUACCGGUGGCGAAGGCGGGUCUCUGGGCUGUUACUGACACUGAGGAGCGAAAGCAUGGGGAGCGAACUGG
This 419-nucleotide ribosomal RNA is filed under the name bacterium. RNAcentral describes it as "partial 16S ribosomal RNA". It matches the Rfam family "Bacterial small subunit ribosomal RNA", at positions 355 to 776 of the family's 1533-position model. The record is from RNAcentral.